GACAAGAACUAAACAGGAUCCCCAUAGUAAUGGCGAAUGAACCGGGAUAAACUCAGCAUGGAAAUUGGGGCCUUUGGCUUUGACUUGUAAUCUGGUGAGGCAUUGCCAACAGAGGCGCAUAUGUAAGUCUCUUGGAAAAGAGCAUCAACGAAGGUGAGAGUCCUGAUUGUCAUGUGCAGCCCCCCUGUGCACGGUGUGCCUUCUAAGAGUCACGUUCCUUGGGAUUGGAGCGCAAAUUGGGUGGUAACUUUCAUCUGAAGUUAAACAAUGGUUUGGGACCGAUAGGAAACAAGUACCAUGAGGGAAAGGUGAAAAGGACUUUGGAAAGAGAGUUAAAAGUGCCUGAAAUUGCUGAAGGGGAAGCGAAUGGAACCAGUAGUGCUGGGUGAGAUUGUCACAUGCUACAAGGAUUGGUUGCUGCCACAACGCAAGUGUGAUGGCAAUUUGUGAAUUGCUAGUGUGUGGUGUGUCUUACCUAGUGGGUCAUUGUGGGUUUAUGCAUUAAGAUAAGUCAAAGCAAGCGGGAGCAAGUUUACGAGUUUGUGAAUGUGUGUUGUUAUGCUUGUGCGUAAGCUUUAGUGUUUGUCUGGCUGCAGGGCUGUCCAUCCUCGAGCUGAGGGUUGCGAUGAGCAUAACCUUCUGCACAGAUCUGACGAAAUGGUUCAUUC
This 668-nucleotide ribosomal RNA is filed under the name Dinophysis tripos. Its description in RNAcentral is "LSU rRNA". It matches the Rfam family "Eukaryotic large subunit ribosomal RNA", at positions 56 to 645 of the family's 3401-position model. The record is from RNAcentral. Lineage: Eukaryota; Dinophyceae; Dinophysales; Dinophysaceae.